Long non-coding RNA from Puntigrus tetrazona (Sumatra barb), 389 nucleotides. RefSeq lists it as uncharacterized. The transcript is spliced from 3 exons. NCBI's taxonomy places the organism in Eukaryota, Metazoa, Chordata, Actinopteri, Cypriniformes, Cyprinidae. The record is from RefSeq and is a predicted model, not a curated record.
AGCAGUCCCAGGGCUCUUAAAAGGAAGUAGUAAGGUUGUGUUUGUUCCUUUUACUUCCGUCUUUUGAUUUUGGGGAAAGGUGGCGUGGAAGGUAGAGUGGCAUGUAGAUGUUACUUUGGGGAUAUGAGCGCAGAUAAUCAUUGCCGCCAAAUACCGCGGGAGCGUUGCUGAGAACUGAGAAUAUGAUGUACCGACUAUUAGUAGGUAGAAGUCUGGUCAUAUUGAUUUUGUUUAUAGGUGUUUUGUUUUAAUUAAAUUAUCUGCCUUUUUAUUUUAGUGGUGUGACUGGAUUAUUGCCUGACUGUGGCCUGACCAUCUUGUCGAAAUAGUGGAUGUGAAAGGGAUGCAUGGUUACCGUUUACUUUAUGGUUAAGAUAUUGUUUUGUUUC